AAAAAGACAAACCCUGGGUUUCCGUGUCCAACUUUGACUGUCCGUCUUAUAUGAAAUUUUUUUUAUAAUUCGUAUUUUCAUUGUUAUUAGAUGAUAAAACAUGAUAAAUAUUUUAUACAUGACUUGUUUUUUUUAAUUUUUUUCAUAAUUUUUUUAAAUAAGACGAACGGUUAAACAUUGGACAAAAAACAGGGUUUGUCUUUUU
This is a microRNA precursor of Oryza rufipogon (brownbeard rice), 205 nucleotides long. It matches the Rfam family "MIR812 microRNA precursor family". The record is from Rfam. Lineage: Eukaryota; Viridiplantae; Streptophyta; Magnoliopsida; Poales; Poaceae.